This 803-nucleotide long non-coding RNA is filed under the name Chlamydomonas reinhardtii. Its description in RNAcentral is "long non-coding RNA (CREI_LNC000020)". Lineage: Eukaryota; Viridiplantae; Chlorophyta; Chlorophyceae; Chlamydomonadales; Chlamydomonadaceae. The record is from RNAcentral.
GUCGUCUUCCCGCAGGUGCAGCUCCGACUACUGUUCCUAGCUCCAAAGCGGCGGGGGUUGGGGCGGCCGGCCGCCCCCGGGGUCGGGCCAGCCCCCCCCGCCGCUGCUCCUGCGCCUCUCCACGCUUCCAGCUUCCAACCCCUGCGCGCGCCUGCGGCCGCUCGCCAGUCCCAAGGCUCCGAUGCUGCUGCUAGCUCCCGCCGAGGGCGCUUAGAACUUCAUCAGGUGCGGGCGGUCGCCGUCCUUCAGGGUGAAGCGGGUCGACAGGUAGCCCUUCAGGUCGGCCGACAGGGCCGGCAGCAGAGCGGCGUCCAGGGUCUUCUGGUUGGCGAUGUACUCCUGGCUGAGCACGUUCUUCUUCGCCUCCGACUGGUCGAAGAACUCCUUCUCGCCCUUCUUGCUCGACUUGCUCUCCACCGCCUUGAAGUAGCUGUCCGUGAACUUCGACAGGUCCAGCUUGGGCAGCGACACCUUGGUGCUGGUGCCAAUCACGUACGCGGCGUUGACGCGACGCACCGGCACACCGUUCAGCUUGAACGGGCCGGUAACGAGCAGCAGGCCCGAAGGCAGCUGGCCCAGGAAGAUGACACGCUUGCCCUUGAAGCGACCGGCCAGCAGAAUCAGCACGGUGCCUGGCGUGAUGCUGGCGCGCAGCUUGGUCUGCUUGUGCACAGCGUUGUGCGACAGAGGCUUGGGCACAUCAUCGGCGGGGUAAAAGCGGGGAGCCUUGCCCUCAGCCUGCUUGGCCACAGCCUUCUUGGCGGGCGCGGGGAACUUGCCGCCGUUCUUCUUCUUGAUCGCCC